CCUACGGGAGGCAGCAGUGGGGGAUAUUGCACAAUGGGGGGAACCCUGAUGCAGCGACGCCGCGUGGGUGAAGAAGCGCCUCGGCGCGUAAAGCCCUGUCAGCAGGGAAGAAAAUGACGGUACCUGAAGAAGAAGCCCCGGCUAACUACGUGCCAGCAGCCGCGGUAAUACGUAGGGGGCAAGCGUUAUCCGGAUUUACUGGGUGUAAAGGGGGCGCAGACGGCGAUGCAAGCCAGGAGUGAAAGCCCGGGGGCCAACCCCGGGACUGCUCUUGGAACUGCGUGGCUGGAGUGAAGGAGGGGCAGGUGGAAUUUCUGGGGUAGCGGUGAAAUGCGGAGAUAUCCGGAGGAACCCCGGUGGCGAAGG
This 366-nucleotide ribosomal RNA is filed under the name uncultured bacterium. Its description in RNAcentral is "partial 16S ribosomal RNA". It matches the Rfam family "Bacterial small subunit ribosomal RNA", at positions 338 to 721 of the family's 1533-position model. The record is from RNAcentral.